Chrysemys picta bellii (western painted turtle) is the source of this 447-nucleotide long non-coding RNA. RefSeq lists it as uncharacterized. NCBI's taxonomy places the organism in Eukaryota, Metazoa, Chordata, Testudines, Emydidae. The record is from RefSeq and is a predicted model, not a curated record.
UGAAGGGAACCAAAGGUCUGGUCUGGCGUAUCUGGGAGUGCAGAGAAAUGUUCUGGUAUGCCUCAGUCUGUGAAAACAAAUUGCUUGCAGGCUUGAUCUUAUGAAAAGGGAACCUUAGUCAUCGUGGUUGAAAAUGCUGAGAAAAGAACUAAGGAUUUGUGUACAAUAACAGUGUGUCAUGGCAUAAAUUGAUGUAACUCCAUUGAAGUGAAGGAAACUACACAGAUUUUUUUUACCAGCUGAGGAUCUGGGACAUUGUGACUAAAGGAAACUACUCUCAUUCCAUGCACAGGAUGAACAAUACCCAGGGAAUGAAUCAAGGUUGUGUAGUGAAGGAAACUAUUGUCUACAGGACCAUAAGAACAUAAGAAUGGCCCUACUGGGUCAGACCAAAGGUCCAUCUAUCCCAGUAUCCUGUCUUACAACAGUGGCCAGUGCCAGGUGCCC